UCCUACGGGCGGCAGCAGUGGGGAAUAUUGGGCAAUGGGGGAAACCCUGACCCAGCAACGCCGCGUGAGAGAAGAAGGUAUUCGUAUUGUAAAUCUCUGUCCUUGGGGACGAAAAAAAUGACGGUACCCAAGGAGGAAGCCCCGGCUAACUACGUGCCAGCAGCCGCGGUAAUACGUAGGGGGCGAGCGUUGUCCGGAAUUACUGGGCGUAAAGGGUGCGCAGGCGGUUGAAUAAGUCUCAUGUGAAAUCCCCGGGCUUAACUUGGGGGUUGCAUGGGAAACUGUUUGACUUGAGUGCAGGAGAGGCAAGUGGAAUUCCUAGUGUAGCGGUGAAAUGCGUAGAUAUUAGGAGGAACACCAGUGGCGAAGGCGACUUGCUGGACUGCAACUGACGCUGAGGCACGAAAGCGUGGGUAGCAAACAGGAUUAGAUACCCCAGUAGUCGGC
RNAcentral lists this ribosomal RNA (447 nucleotides) under uncultured Christensenellaceae bacterium. RNAcentral's name for it is "bacterial SSU rRNA". It matches the Rfam family "Bacterial small subunit ribosomal RNA", at positions 337 to 798 of the family's 1533-position model. The record is from RNAcentral. Lineage: Bacteria; Bacillati; Bacillota; Clostridia; Christensenellales; Christensenellaceae.